This 477-nucleotide ribosomal RNA is filed under the name uncultured bacterium. RNAcentral's name for it is "partial 16S ribosomal RNA". It matches the Rfam family "Bacterial small subunit ribosomal RNA", at positions 28 to 507 of the family's 1533-position model. The record is from RNAcentral.
GACGAACGCUGGCGGCGUGCUUAACACAUGCAAGUCGAACGGAGAAGCGCCUUCCUUGUUGGUGGGUGUGGAUGAGUGGCGAACGGGUGAGCAAGAGGUGAGUAACCUGCCCCCUUGGGUAGGAUAACCGAAUGAAAGUGUGUCUAAGAUAGGAUAUUCUGGGUCAGUCGCAUGAUUGGUAUGGGUAAGAUGUUGUGUCGGUGGGGGAUGGUCGCGCGGUCUAUCAGCUUGUUGGUGGGGUAAUGGCCUACCAAGGCUUUGACGGGUAGCCGGCCUGAGAGGGUGACCGGCCACAUUGGGACUGAGAUACGGCCCAGACUUCUAGGGGAGGCAGCAGUGGGGAAUAUUGCACAAUGGGCGGAAGCCUGAUGCAGCAACACCGCGUGCGGGAUGACGGUCUUCGGGUUGUAAACCGCUUUCGCCUGGGACGAAGCGUGAGUGACGGUAAUGGGUAAAGAAGCACCGGCUAACUACGUG